AUGCACGCUGGCGGCGUGCCUAAUACAUGCAAGUCGAGCGAACAGACGAGGAGCUUGCUCCUCUGACGUUAGCGGCGGACGGGUGAGUAACACGUGGAUAACCUACCUAUAAGACUGGGAUAACUUCGGGAAACCGGAGCUAAUACCGGAUAAUAUAUUGAACCGCAUGGUUCAAUAGUGAAAGACGGUUUUGCUGUCACUUAUAGAUGGAUCCGCGCCGCAUUAGCUAGUUGGUAAGGUAACGGCUUACCAAGGCGACGAUGCGUAGCCGACCUGAGAGGGUGAUCGGCCACACUGGAACUGAGACACGGUCCAGACUCCUACGGGAGGCAGCAGUAGGGAAUCUUCCGCAAUGGGCGAAAGCCUGACGGAGCAACGCCGCGUGAGUGAUGAAGGUCUUCGGAUCGUAAAACUCUGUUAUUAGGGAAGAACAAAUGUGUAAGUAACUAUGCACGUCUUGACGGUACCCAAUCAGAAAGCCACGGCUAACUACGUG
RNAcentral lists this ribosomal RNA (496 nucleotides) under uncultured bacterium. RNAcentral describes it as "partial 16S ribosomal RNA". It matches the Rfam family "Bacterial small subunit ribosomal RNA", at positions 29 to 507 of the family's 1533-position model. The record is from RNAcentral.